ACACAUACACUAUUACAAGCA
This 21-nucleotide unclassified non-coding RNA is filed under the name Mus musculus (house mouse). RNAcentral's name for it is "oocyte_clustered_small_RNA4120". The record is from RNAcentral. Lineage: Eukaryota; Metazoa; Chordata; Mammalia; Rodentia; Muridae.